AUGCAGGCAAUAUGGACCCUUGUGUGCCUGAUGGCUGCUCCCCUGGGUGUGCUGUCUGAUCAGACACUUCAGGAGUCAGGACCACAUCUACUGAAGACUGGGGAGACCCUGUCCCUCACCUGCACUGUCACAGAAGGUCAUAUAACAACUAGCUAUGCUUGGACCUGGAUUCGCCACCCUUCUGGGAAAGUUCUACAGUGGAUGGGGUACUGGAUCGGCAGCUCAUACUACAACAAAGCUUUCCAGGGCCGCAUGACAAUCAUUGUCGAUGCAGUCCAGAACCAGUUCUCCUUGCAGCUGAAGUCCUUGACCGAGGAGGACACAGCAGUGUAUUACUGUGCAAGACACAGUGAGAGAACAUCAUUGUGA
Molecule: non-coding RNA, 369 nt
Organism: Octodon degus (degu)
Lineage: Eukaryota; Metazoa; Chordata; Mammalia; Rodentia; Octodontidae
Source: the annotation of a RefSeq genome assembly